Long non-coding RNA from Homo sapiens (human), 363 nucleotides. Lineage: Eukaryota; Metazoa; Chordata; Mammalia; Primates; Hominidae. The record is from Ensembl.
UCCUGAUACUGUGUUUACUCUUCUGCCUGAAUAGUUCCACGCAGAAUCACACCAUCAUGUUUUAGGUUCCAUCAAAAAUGAAUGAGGAGAGGCCAGGUGCAGUGGCUCAUGCCAGUAAUCCCAGCACGUUAGGAGGCUGAGGUAGGAGAAUUGCUUGAGCCCAGGAGGCAAAGGUUGCAGUGAGCUGAGAAUCAGGCCCCUGCACUCCAGCCUGGGUGACACAGUGAGACACUGCCUCAAACAAUGAGGAGAGUAAAUGGUUACAUGCAUGCUAUUGUUAUAUGUACAUGCCCUUAUGUUAUCCCAUAAGGGAUAAUGCAACAGGAUCUGUUCAUUAUUGAACAGAAUGAAUAUUAAGCGUAU